CCCUUAGAUGUUCUGGGCCGCACGCGCGCUACACUGAUGCAUUCAACGAGUCUAAAACCUGCUCUGAUAGGGGUGGGUAAUCUUUUGAAUGUGCAUCGUGAUUGGGAUAGAUGAUUGCAAUUCUUCAUCUUCAACGAGGAAUGCCUAGUAAACGCAAGUCAUCAGCUUGCAUUGAUUACGUCCCUGCCCUUUGUACGCACCGCCCGUCGCUCCUACCGAUUGAAUGUUCCGAUGAAUACCAUGGACUGAGAGUAUGAAUGGGUUCGCCUAUUUCUGCUUCUCGGGAAGUGGAGUAAAUCUUAACAUUUAGAGGAAGGAGAAGUCGUAACA
RNAcentral lists this ribosomal RNA (330 nucleotides) under uncultured eukaryote. RNAcentral's name for it is "partial 18S ribosomal RNA". It matches the Rfam family "Eukaryotic small subunit ribosomal RNA", at positions 1470 to 1796 of the family's 1831-position model. The record is from RNAcentral.